GGAAUGAGCGGACGAUGGGGUGAGGGCACGUGUAUAAUACCCAGCGCAGACACAGCGUUAGGGUUAGUUUGCGACCGGACGAGUGACUGUGCGCUUGCGUGGCCCUCGGAGGAUUCCUAGCCAGCUCUCCUCUCUCUUUCUCUCCCGCUCAUUCGCUCUGCGUUCAACGUUCAGUCUUCUCCUUCUCCUUCCCUCAUCGUCCCUCGCAGUAUGCUCGCCCGCCCGGUGGCAGGCGCGACUUCGCACCUCCGAGGGUCUCGCGACCUUCUGCCUGGCUUUCCCGAAUCGGCCCCCUUCCCGCACCGGAUUGAAAUCUCUCAUCCGGCCGCGUCGAUCAUUCGACUAAGGAAUCGCUGAGGAUCUAAGAAAUGGACGACCAUCUGUCGAGGAGCAGAAGGGGCAUUUUGAUGCAGAGUGUCGCUAAUCGGUGAGAAUGUACCUGGCGAUGACGAGGAACGGGAAGGAUCAUCCGUACCCGAUGAGACGCCGAUUCGGAGAAGCAGAGACGAGAGACAUGACGAAGACGGCGUGCAACGGCCCUGUAAGUAAACGUAGCCAAAGAUUAACAGACACAUCGUAGGAAGUUUGAGUUAAAGCCAGCUAAUCUGACGUGGAAUCGUGAGGCUCAUAGUGACAAUCUAUCGAUUUUACCAAUGGAUAUAGGACUUGAGAACAUAAAAAUGUCAAACUAAGGCAACCGAUAUGUGGUUGCCAUUGGUCUACAAAUUGAAAGAAGGAAGGAAAGAGAGAGAGAAAAUUUACAUAUAACAAUCUUGGCGAACAAUUCAACAAACUGUCAGAACCUUGAACAAAUAAUAAUAAAUUGAAAAAAUGGUCACAAUAGUCUCAUUUUCGAUUUCCACGCUGAUGAUGACAAAAACCUACGAGGCGAACAAGUUCCGCCAUAAGAAAUCCACCAUAAGAAAAAGAAUUAUUUGUACUGGUAAAACAUCAGAAAGAGUGGGAGAGAGAGAGAGAAGGGAGAGACAUUUAGAGUACUGAUGCUCAAGUACAACGAUACGUAUUUGGAAAAUACGCUCGGUGAAGAUGAACGACCGCAUCCCGCGGCGCUGGAAAAUUUUCAUUCAAAUAUUCCGCAAUUCCCCGUAUCGGAUAGCAUGAAGAGUAUUACAUCAAAGAUGAUACUGGUUACAGCAGUCAUAAGGAACCUGAAGAUACAUUUAGCACCCUAAUUGAGCUACUUUGCUCUUGCUGAAUUGUGCAAAUUAAAAACAACACUUUUUGGGAGGAACACAAAAUACGAUGUCAGUAAUAUGAAAACGCCAUGAGAGAAAUUAAUUCAGCCUGAUAUUGACAUAAAUUCUUUGAUGACUUCAACUCAAGAUUUGCAUUUUCAACGUGCUGAAACCACGGCGUAAAUAAUGGAUCGAUGAUCAGAUCUAUAAUGAAUUCGUGACGAAGAAAUAUUUGAAAAUCGAAGGCAGAACUGAGAAGAAUCGCAUGUCACUUCAUCAUCCACUGUGUACUUCAACAUACUUCGACAACGAUAAUGAUCACUGGUAGAAAACAUCGGGCUUUAGCUGAAUGCGGUCUGUUUUGUGACAAUAUUGAUGGUAUGACGAAAUUUAUUUUGAGAUGCGGAGGAAUAUUUCUUGAACUCGCGAUAAUGCAAUUUUAGUUUAAGUUUAAUAGAAGUAAUGUGUGUAAUUGUGUAGUGUACUUUGCGCGUGAAUCCAAAUAAGUUAACUUAUAUUCGCAUAAAUUAGAUUAAUUGUAAUUCUUCUCGUAUAGAAACGCAUUAUUGCGAGUUAAAAGCUAAAUUCCACUCUAUGGGCAUUUUUCGGUAAAAUUAUUGUUUGAGUAUUCUUUUUUCGAAGUGAUUUCUUCGAAAUAUUUAGUUAAACGUAGUAAUGAAAAUUUUCUCAACCGAGCGUUUUUGUCAUUUUAUUGAUUUAAGUGUAAUUUAUUUUAAGCUGACGAUUAGUGAGAUUAAUUUUAAUUUAGUAAGUUUCUAUAAUGAAUCUAUGUUUAGUAACUUUUAAAGUACAAGAGCUAAAAAAGAGUACAACACAAAAUCAAAUUUAAUAUUUAAUACUUAGUUUGUCAUGUGCAAGUUGUAUCGAUACAAUCUAGUCAAGCGAUGAGAUUUUCAUUUCUCUUCAAUAUGUCUCAUUUAUUGGGGAUACGUGCCAUAUAAAACAAAAACGUAUAGUACAAAAAACUAUAAAAUCUAGUCGCAUAUAUUUCUGAUUUAGUUAAAAUAUCUCGAGAAUCUAAUUAUAAAACUAAAACUAUUUCUAAUAUCCAGAUAUAAAAACUAUUGGUUCGUACUUGAUAGCAUUAAUCAAAAUUUAUAUCUUAAGUAAAAACAAAGAAUUAAUUUUAAUAUCGAUAUAAUAAUCACGCGUUCGAUACAGAGAAAUACAAAUUUUGAGUUUCCAAAAUUCGCGAAUAAGUUCUACGAACUCUAGGAUCAUAAGCGUUUCAUUGAUCUCUUUGAAAAACCAUACCUACGCAUUCCCUUAGUUUAGGAUUAGAAUCACAAUCAAUUAAAUUGGAUAAGAGUAAUAGACACAACCGAAAAUUCUUACUACCAUUAGAAUUACCUUUACUUGUAACUUGUAUAUUGUAAGUUAAUUAUGCAACGGAAGUUUUCUCUACUAUUUUCAUUCUAGUCAUUAUAAAUUUUUAGUCAUGUCCAAUCGUCUCUAGUCAUUCCUAGUCGAAAAAUUAUCUAAGCUAUCGUCCUAAUUAAGAAAUAAUCAAUUUAAGAAUAAUUUCAUAUUCGGAACAGAAAGAAUAUGCAGGCCACCAAUGAAUGCAAUUUUGUUCUUCAAAUGUGCAAUGUUUCGUGUAUACGUCUCGUAUCUUGGCAUGACGUGCCAAUUAUUCUAUCAGUAUUAUUUGUGCAUUUAUGCGUUUGUAAGCCCGUGGAUUCGAUGCCAUAUGAAACUUAUGACAAAUAAUUAUGUACUAGUCGUUUUUCCCUAAGUAAUUGGAUGAUUCUCCAUGCUUUUCUAGAAGCAUUCACUGUACAGUUCUUGUUUAGCAUUAUCCUAGCUUAGUUAUAAUUGCUUUCCAUAAGUCAAGUCAAGAAUAAGUCAAGUCAUUAGCAAUAAGCACUAGGAAGUAUUUGAUUUGUAAGAUUAAUAACGCAAAUUAUAGAGAUAUGUACUUUGGGAAACGUGCCAGUAUCACGAUUACUUAACGUUAAUAGAUUCUCUGAAUUUAAUGAUUAAGAAGUAAUUAAUUAUUUCUUGCUUUUUUUGCAUCAGAAAAAAAGCUUUAGCGUAAUAUCCGAACGCAAGCAAAAAUAGAGAGAAACAAGCCUGGAAAUUUUGUGCAAAAUAUAAUAUAUGUCUAAAAUGUAUUAUAAAAAGUGCCUGCUUUUUAUUAGAGCGCGUUUAAUUUAUCGUCUCAUUAAUUUAUACGCAAAAGCAAUGUCCUCAACGGCAGCUAUCGAGAUAUAGGAAAGAGCUAAGCAAUAAUGCAUUAGAAAUCUUCACACUUUUUUGAUUAAAAGAUAUUCCUUUAAGUAGACGUAUUGCGCAAACGUCUACUUUAAAGGAAAAUGUUUGCCGUCUUCUAAGCAGUAUAAAGGAUAUGAAUAUAUUACAAAUUUUUAUUUAUUAGCAUUUGCCUUCAUUAAAAGCAUCUUAUGACUAUCAUAAAAUUAUUUUAAUACAUUUGCAAACGUAAUAUGACUACAAAGUAUGCGAUAUAUAUCGCAUUUGAUUAUUAAAAUUUUACAGUAAGCAUGAAUUGAUUUUUCUACAAACAAAUUUCACAUUACGCCUCUUUUCCCAUUUUUCAAUUCUUGGAACAAUAAUUUAUGCUGUUUAGAAGGAAAGAUGAAACGUUUGGAGAUUUCGAAUGCUACUAUUAGAAUUUUAAGACUAACAUGUUUCACUUUUAUGUUUAGGCAAUUCUUAUGUAAUCAGGCUAACCGUCUUUGUCAACAGUGAAAUUUUGAAAAUUAAGUUAUGAAAUCAAUGUACACUAAUAUAUGAUAGACACAGAUCUUAACUUAGUGUCAUUGGUUAUUAAUUUUACGAAUAGUAAUAUGUAAAUCUCUUUCAUAUUCUGCGUAUGAGAUUAACUGCAGAAUACGUUAAGGAUUUAGCAAUAUUAUGUAUACGCCGGGGUGGAAGGACUUCCGUAUUCCCCUGUAUGAGAAAAUGUCAGAAGAUUCAAACACAGAAACCGAUAGGAGAUGCCUCACCAGGAAGAAAAGAGACGGUAUACGUGACACGUGGCAUUCUAUCACCUGAAUAAUAUCCAGGUGACUCCCUGAGAAGAGAGAGAAUCAAACUACCCCAUUAUAAAAUCAUAAUUGCGAGUGGUAUGCGGCUGUGCUUACUUUAAUGAAAUCAUUUGGAAUCCAUUCCAUUUUGUGAUUAUAGAUGCAGGCCAGAUCCAAAAUAUUUUUAAACUCUCGAUGAGUAUUUGAGGACUAAUCAAAUUUAUUCUAAGUUUUGCUUGGCGUUUGCACAAUUUCAUUCCUAACGCAUAAGAAAUUUGAACAAUUAUAGAGAGCGCGCAGUAUAUUUUAUAGAAAACGUACGUAAUUUAAGCUUGCGUCGUAGGGAAAGUAAAAUUAAUCUCGCUAGUCCGUGCGUACGGUGCGUACAUAAGUAGCAAUUUAAAAAAUUAAGUUCCUUUACUUUAAUAUACAAUAAAAAUGGAUAAAAAUCAGUGCAAAAGCUAUUGACCUGUAGUGUAUAAACGAUUGCUAGCCGCAAAUCUAGUCCACAUAAUUCUAUUUAGUCCAUACAAUCUAGUCCAGAACAAUAUAAUUCAAAUUUCAACAAGUAUACGAAUAUUAUAAUCGAUAGAGUAAUAUAUAAGGAUGUAUCAUUUACGAGUAUUUUUACAAAAAUAAUCUUUCACCAGGCAGGUCUAAUUUUGACAGCUGUUUGAUGUGUAAUAUUACAUGCGAGUGGUAUCUAGUCAGAGAGCUCAUGGACAAUUAACUUGAAACGUUUAAUCGGGGAAGAUGGAAUUUCCGGGAGAGUGCACGUAGAAAUAAUCGCCAAAUAGAAUGUAAUGCAAGCCAACAGCUGUUUUAUACAUAAUAAUUAAAUCUUUUAGAGUAUCAAGUCGUAUCAAUCAAAGAUUUCUCGUAUUAUGUUUGAAUAUAAUCUAUUUAAUAGAUACACAUGACACUAUUUUUGAUACAGUCGUACAAAUUUAAUACUUUUUAUAUGACGAAUUAUAUUAAUAUAUAAUACAUAAUUCUGUGAUCAAGAACAAUUUGAGAAAGUUGGCUCUUUGCGUAACUGCAUUCGAAUGGACAAUAAUAAUUUUUCUCUGUAGUUUACUCACAGUUUAUUGAAGAUUAUUGAGCAAAAUACUCCCGCUCUUGACGCACAGCUACGUCCCUUCCAAGUCAUCGUCCCUUGAUUGACAUAGUAGAGCACACGAUCUCAGUCCAUGAGCAGUAAAUGUAGUCUGUAAAAAUUCUAGUCUGUAAAAUCUAGUCUACUUGGUAUAAUGAGAAUCAAUAGAUAAAACAUGACAUCAUUAUUAACAGAUAUUUAUAUGAUAGAAACUUAUAACAGAUAACAAAUAAAUACGCGGACGGAUACGCGGAGUGAUGAAUAAAUUAAAACAUCUAUAUAUUACUUAUUUAUCAUUCCGCGUGCUUAUUCUCAUUUAUUAUGUGUCGUAAGUUUGGAGAAUAAUACAGUACGGUACAUGUAUAUGUAGUACUUUUACAUGUACAUGUAUGUACUUUAAUAUGUGUUAAAAGGCUCUCCGUUUUCUCCGUGUAAAGAAGUUUGCCGUGUGAAAUGUUUAUUCACUUUUCGAAGUAGCUUAACAAUUUUCAUAAGGAGAGAGCCUAAGUACAUCCCACACAUAUUUAACCAUUUAUUUAUUCCACGUAUUUAUUGCUAAGCAAUUAUUUAAUAUAGCCAUUUACAUAGCGUAGAAUUUGUGCGCAAUAUUUAAUCUAUUUAUUAUAAAUUAUUUCGUGUGUUUGUCCACCUAUUUAUUUAUUACUUAUUAUUCCGCGUAUUUAUCCGUUUAUUCAUGUAAUACUUAUAUUAUUGUAAAACAUGUGUGUGUAUUGUAUAUGUGUGUUGCUUGUGUUCACAUGUAACCAAAUUGCAGUGUCUAUAAUGUAUUCCACAUAAAUUAUUAUAAAAUAUCGGAAACACGUACAGCCGUUUACGUAAAUAUCGAAAUUUAUCUGAUAAAAUUCGUUAUAUUGUCGCAUGCUGAAUUUUAAUACAUCGAUUAUUCGGAAAAAUCAUAUGUUAAUGUACUUAUCAUGAAAUAUCCGCAUAAACCUUUCCGAAAAAGACGAACAAGUGAUAUUGCAUAAAAAAUAUAAAUCCGAUAACAUAAUUUGGUGUAAAAGUGAAGAAAUUAUAUUUAUGCAUAAUCAUGCGUUUUAUUGUAUUUUUUUUCUGGAAGAAAGAAUUAUAAUUAUUUUGCCUCCUUUGUACAUGUUAUUACCAAACUUAUCCAAUAAAAUCUAUAAUAGCCAA
This 6455-nucleotide long non-coding RNA is filed under the name Ooceraea biroi (clonal raider ant). Its description in RNAcentral is "uncharacterized LOC105286059". Lineage: Eukaryota; Metazoa; Arthropoda; Insecta; Hymenoptera; Formicidae. The record is from RNAcentral.